AUUGAACGCUGGCGGCAGGCCUAACACAUGCAAGUCGAACGGUAACAGGAAACAGCUUGCUGUUUCGCUGACGAGUGGCGGACGGGUGAGUAAUGUCUGGGAAACUGCCUGAUGGAGGGGGAUAACUACUGGAAACGGUAGCUAAUACCGCAUAACGUCGCAAGACCAAAGAGGGGGACCCUCGGGCCUCUUGCCAUCGGAUGUGCCCAGAUGGGAUUAGCUUGUUGGUGGGGUAACGGCUCACCAAGGCGACGAUCCCUAGCUGGUCUGAGAGGAUGACCAGCCACACUGGAACUGAGACACGGUCCAGACUCCUACGGGAGGCAGCAGUGGGGAAUAUUGCACAAUGGGCGCAAGCCUGAUGCAGCCAUGCCGCGUGUAUGAAGAAGGCCUUCGGGUUGUAAAGUACUUCCAGCGGGGAGGAAGGGAGUAAAGUUAAUACCUUUGCUCAUUGACGUUACCCGCAGAAGAAGCACCGGCUAACUCCGUG
RNAcentral lists this ribosomal RNA (490 nucleotides) under uncultured bacterium. Its description in RNAcentral is "partial 16S ribosomal RNA". It matches the Rfam family "Bacterial small subunit ribosomal RNA", at positions 30 to 507 of the family's 1533-position model. The record is from RNAcentral.